Molecule: ribosomal RNA, 271 nt
Filed under: uncultured prokaryote
Description: partial 16S ribosomal RNA
Rfam family: Bacterial small subunit ribosomal RNA
Source: RNAcentral
UACGGAGGAUCCGAGCGUUAUCCGGAUUUAUUGGGUUUAAAGGGUGCGCAGGCGGGAGAUUAAGUCGGCGGUGAAAUUUUGCAGCUCAACUGUAAAAGUGCCUUCGAAACUGGUUUCCUUGAGUGUAGAUGAAGUAGGCGGAAUUUGUGGUGUAGCGGUGAAAUGCAUAGAUAUCACGAGGAACUCCGAUUGCGCAGGCAGCUUACUAAACCAUAACUGACGCUCAGGCACGAAAGGCGUGGGGAGUCAAACAGGAUUAGAUACCCGCGUA